GAUGAACGCUAGCGGCAGGCUUAAUACAUGCAAGUCGAGGGGCAGCACAGGUAGCAAUACUGGGUGGCGACCGGCAAACGGGUGCGGAACACGUACGCAACCUUCCUUUAAGUGGGGGAUAGCCCAGGGAAACUUGGAUUAAUACCCCUUAACAUUAUGAGAUGGCAUCAUUUUAUAAUUAAAGCUCCGGCGCUUAAAGAUGGGCGUGCGCCUGAUUAGGUAGUUGGCGGGGUAACAGCCCACCAAGCCUACGAUCAGUAACUGGUGUGAGAGCACGACCAGUAACACGGGCACUGAGACACGGGCCCGACUCCUACGGGAGGCAGCAGUAAGGAAUAUUGGUCAAUGGACGCAAGUCUGAACCAGCCAUGCCGCGUGGGGGAUGACGGCCCUCUGGGUUGUAAACUCCUUUUAUCUGGGAAGAAAUGCAGAUUUUCUAAUCUGUUUGACGGUACCAGAGGAAUAAGCACCGGCUAACUCCGUGCCAGCCGCCGCAGUAA
Molecule: ribosomal RNA, 500 nt
Filed under: uncultured bacterium
Lineage: Bacteria
Description: partial 16S ribosomal RNA
Rfam family: Bacterial small subunit ribosomal RNA
Source: RNAcentral